GAUGAACGCUGGCGGCGUGCCUAAUGCAUGCAAGUCGAGCGAACGGACGAGAAGCUUGCUUCUCUGAUGUUAGCGGCGGACGGGUGAGUAACACGUGGAUAACCUACCUAUAAGACUGGGAUAACUUCGGGAAACCGGAGCUAAUACCGGAUAAUAUUUUGAACCGCAUGGUUCAAAAGUGAAAGACGGUCUUGCUGUCACUUAUAGAUGGAUCCGCGCUGCAUUAGCUAGUUGGUAAGGUAACGGCUUACCAAGGCAACGAUGCAUAGCCGACCUGAGAGGGUGAUCGGCCACACUGGAACUGAGGCACGGUCCAGACUCCUACGGGAGGCAGCAGUAGGGAAUCUUCCGCAAUGGGCGAAAGCCUGACGGAGCAACGCCGCGUGAGUGAUGAAGGUCUUCGGAUCGUAAAACUCUGUUAUUAGGGAAGAACAUAUGUGUAAGUAACUGUGCACAUCUUGACGGUACCUAAUCAGAAAGCCACGGCUAACUACGUG
Molecule: ribosomal RNA, 497 nt
Filed under: uncultured bacterium
Lineage: Bacteria
Description: partial 16S ribosomal RNA
Rfam family: Bacterial small subunit ribosomal RNA
Source: RNAcentral